GCUAUCAUGCAGUCGAACGCACAGCGAAAGGUGCUUGCACCUUUCAAGUGAGUGGCGAACGGGUGAGUAACACGUGGACAACCUGCCUCAAGGCUGGGCAAAACAUUUGGAAACAGAUGCUAAUACCGAAUAAAACUUAGUGUCGCAUGACACAAAGUUAAAAGGCGCUUCGGCGUCACCUAGAGAUGGAUCCGCGGUGCAUUAGUUAGUUGGUGGGGUAAAGGCCUACCAAGACAAUGAUGCAUAGCCGAGUUGAGAGACUGAUCGGCCACAUUGGGACUGAGACACGGCCCAAACUCCUACGGGAGGCUGCAGUAGGGAAUCUUCCACAAUGGGCGAAAGCCUGAUGGAGCAACGCCGCGUGUGUGAUGAAGGCUUUCGGGUCGUAAAGCACUGUUGUAUGGGAAGAACAGCUAGAAUAGGAAAUGAUUUUAGUUUGACGGUACCAUACCAGAAAGGGACGGCUAAAUACGUGCCAGCAGCCGCGGUAAUACGUAUGUCCCGAGCGUUAUCCGGAUUUAUUCGGCGUAAAGCGAGCGCAGACGGUUUAUUAAGUCUGAUGUGAAAGCCCGGAGCUCAACUCCGGAAUGGCAUUGGAAACUGGUUAACUUGAGUGCAGUAGAGGUAAGUGGAACUCCAUGUGUAGCGGUGGAAUGCGUAGAUAUAUGGAAGAACACCAGUGGCGGAGGCGGCUUACUGGACUGCAACUGACGUUGAGGCUCGAAAGUGUGGGUAGCAAACAGGAUUAGAUACCCUGGUAGUCCACACCGUAAACGAUGAACACUAGGUGUUAGGAGGUUUCCGCCUCUUAGUGCCGAAGCUAACGCAUUAAGUGUUCCGCCUGGGGAGUACGACCGCAAGGUUGAAACUCAAAGGAAUUGACGGGGACCCGCACAAGCGGUGGAGCAUGUGGUUUAAUUCGAAGCAACGCGAAGAACCUUACCAGGUCUUGACAUCCUUUAAGCUUUUAGAGAUAGAAGUGUUCUCUUCGGAGACAAGUGACAGUGGUGCAUGGUCGUCGUCAGCUCGUGUCGUGAGAUGUUGGGUUA
RNAcentral lists this ribosomal RNA (1049 nucleotides) under Leuconostoc mesenteroides. Its description in RNAcentral is "bacterial SSU rRNA". It matches the Rfam family "Bacterial small subunit ribosomal RNA", at positions 46 to 1082 of the family's 1533-position model. The record is from RNAcentral. Lineage: Bacteria; Bacillati; Bacillota; Bacilli; Lactobacillales; Lactobacillaceae.